This 1181-nucleotide ribosomal RNA is filed under the name Enterococcus faecalis. RNAcentral describes it as "bacterial SSU rRNA". It matches the Rfam family "Bacterial small subunit ribosomal RNA", at positions 63 to 1165 of the family's 1533-position model. The record is from RNAcentral. Lineage: Bacteria; Bacillati; Bacillota; Bacilli; Lactobacillales; Enterococcaceae.
CUGACUGCCAGCCUCCGAUCGACACAGAUUCAGUCGAAACGCUUCUUUCCUCCCGAGUGCUUGCACUCAAUUGGAAAGAGGAGUGGCGGACGGGUGAGUAACACGUGGGUAACCUACCCAUCAGAGGGGGAUAACACUUGGAAACAGGUGCUAAUACCGCAUAACAGUUUAUGCCGCAUGGCAUAAGAGUGAAAGGCGCUUUCGGGUGUCGCUGAUGGAUGGACCCGCGGUGCAUUAGCUAGUUGGUGAGGUAACGGCUCACCAAGGCCACGAUGCAUAGCCGACCUGAGAGGGUGAUCGGCCACACUGGGACUGAGACACGGCCCAGACUCCUACGGGAGGCAGCAGUAGGGAAUCUUCGGCAAUGGACGAAAGUCUGACCGAGCAACGCCGCGUGAGUGAAGAAGGUUUUCGGAUCGUAAAACUCUGUUGUUAGAGAAGAACAAGGACGUUAGUAACUGAACGUCCCCUGACGGUAUCUAACCAGAAAGCCACGGCUAACUACGUGCCAGCAGCCGCGGUAAUACGUAGGUGGCAAGCGUUGUCCGGAUUUAUUGGGCGUAAAGCGAGCGCAGGCGGUUUCUUAAGUCUGAUGUGAAAGCCCCCGGCUCAACCGGGGAGGGUCAUUGGAAACUGGGAGACUUGAGUGCAGAAGAGGAGAGUGGAAUUCCAUGUGUAGCGGUGAAAUGCGUAGAUAUAUGGAGGAACACCAGUGGCGAAGGCGGCUCUCUGGUCUGUAACUGACGCUGAGGCUCGAAAGCGUGGGGAGCAAACAGGAUUAGAUACCCUGGUAGUCCACGCCGUAAACGAUGAGUGCUAAGUGUUGGAGGGUUUCCGCCCUUCAGUGCUGCAGCAAACGCAUUAAGCACUCCGCCUGGGGAGUACGACCGCAAGGUUGAAACUCAAAGGAAUUGACGGGGGGCCCGCACAAGGCGGUGGAGCAUGUGGUUUAAUUUCGAAGCAACGCGAAGAACCCUUACCAGGUCUUGACAUCCUUUUGACCACUCUAAGAGAAUAGAGCUUUCCCCUUCGGGGGACAAAGUGACAGUGGGUGCAUGGGUGUCGUCAGCUCGUGUCGUGAGAUGUUGGGAUUAGUCCCGGCACGAGCCGCCAACUCCCUAUUGGUAAGUGCCAUCAUUUUAGUGGUCACUCUAGGCGAGACUGCCGGGUGUACAAACCCG